GCAAGUCGAGCGCUACCUUCGGGGUUAGCGGCGGACGGGUGAGUAACGCGUGGGAAUAUACCCUUCUCUACGGAAUAGCCUCGGGAAACUGAGAGUAAUACCGUAUACGCCCUUCGGGGGAAAGAUUUAUCGGAGAAGGAUUAGCCCGCGUUGGAUUAGGUAGUUGGUGGGGUAAUGGCCUACCAAGCCGACGAUCCAUAGCUGGUUUGAGAGGAUGAUC
This 220-nucleotide ribosomal RNA is filed under the name uncultured bacterium. RNAcentral's name for it is "partial 16S ribosomal RNA". It matches the Rfam family "Bacterial small subunit ribosomal RNA", at positions 57 to 305 of the family's 1533-position model. The record is from RNAcentral.